This is a long non-coding RNA of Callithrix jacchus (white-tufted-ear marmoset), 532 nucleotides long. RefSeq lists it as uncharacterized. NCBI's taxonomy places the organism in Eukaryota, Metazoa, Chordata, Mammalia, Primates, Cebidae. The record is from RefSeq and is a predicted model, not a curated record.
UGUUAACUAUGAAAUACAUACUGGCAACUGGAUGUUUUGACAAAACAGACCUGGUUGUGUCAUGGCAAGACGUGGAGCGGAGAAGGAGUCACAGGAGCCCUUCCUGCUUCAGAGGCUUAUCAAGAAGUUUCUGAAUCCACAGCAUUCCUUCAGUGUUACUAAAUGCUAUCAACACUGGGAUCAGAGUAAGGAAGAUCAUCAGAGGCAUAAGAAGGGGAUGUAAGCAAUUUUUUUUUCUUCAAGUUCCAGAGUACAUGUGCAGGAUGUACAGGUUUGUUACAAAGGUAAAUAUGUGCCAUGGUAGUCUGCUACACAGAUUAUCCCAUCACCAAGGUAUCAAGCCUAGUGCUCGUUAGCUAUUCUUCCUGACGCUUUCCCUGGCAAUUUUUGUAAUACUUAUGGUAUUAAAUAAGUUAAUGAUCUCAAAUAAACAAUAUUGGGAAUCUUAUCAGUUACAGAUUUAAAAAAAUUUCCAAAUGAAGUUUUGUACUCUGUACAGCUGUCCAGUAAGCGUCUUCCCAUGUUUAAAAUU